UGAAUAAUUCACAGCCCUACUCUUUUUAUGUCUGUGUCCUAAUCGGUUGCAUGUUUUCAUACAAAAGGAACUUUACAC
This is a long non-coding RNA of Sander lucioperca (pikeperch), 78 nucleotides long. RefSeq lists it as uncharacterized. Lineage: Eukaryota; Metazoa; Chordata; Actinopteri; Perciformes; Percidae. The transcript is spliced from 3 exons. The record is from RefSeq and is a predicted model, not a curated record.